Long non-coding RNA from Astatotilapia calliptera (eastern happy), 967 nucleotides. The record is from Ensembl. Lineage: Eukaryota; Metazoa; Chordata; Actinopteri; Cichliformes; Cichlidae.
CAACAGCAACCUGGCAACAUUUAGCGUUUAUUGUAAGAGAUGGUGAUGAAGUCGCGUUGCCGUGUAAAAAUCCAGUAGAUGGUCAGCGUAACUGUGACAGUACAACCUGGAUGUUCAUGAAUUUAAGAAGUGCAAAAACAGUAACACUCUUUGAACAUGAUCAGUUUCACAAAGAAGCUGGAGCUAAGUUAGGUAGACUGAGCGUUACAGCAAACUGUUCUCUAGUUAUUCAGAAGGUCACAGAUCAGGAUGUUGGUCUGUACAAAUGCAAACGGUUCAUAUCAGGAAACCAACAAGACUCACCUGUUCAUCUUUCUGUUAUUCACAUGACUGAACAAAAAAGCAACGAUAAAGUCAUCUUUUACUGCUACGUGUUCUCAUAUGAAGGCUGUAGGCAUUCAGUGGAGUGGGUCUACGAGGGUGUAAAGUGACAGAUGAAGACAAAAGAGUGCAGCUGUUUCCCUUCAGCCCUCCGUCCUCGGGUUGGUCAUGGUGGUAUGUUUAUGUGACUGUGGGUUUAUCAGCACUCUUAAUUAUCAUAGUGAUCAUCUCAUGGAAGAAAAUGAAAGGAAAUAAAGAACAAAAGGAAGGAAAUAAGGAACCAAGCUUAAGCCCCAAAGAGGCUCAGUCUGGUUCAGAAGCCAGUCACAACACUGCUGAACCUGACGACGGUGUUUCUUAUGCCACCAUCAGCUUUGCCAAGAAGACCCAGAAUAAAGCCAGGGUACCCUGUAAUGGUGCAGAUGAUACUGUGACAUACAGCACUGUAAACGCUUCCUCAUCUUCUGCUGGAUAUUCUUCUUCCAGUGAUCUCUAUUCCAUCAUCAACAAACCAAAGAAAUAUAUGACUGGAUUAUGAUUUCUUUUCUUGUGCACUAUCGUACAUGAAGCCACCGAGAUAACACAGACUCCCUCUAGAGGUGGAGAGGGUGAAAAUAUUCCCAGAUUGAAAAUGCAAUAAAAUGAG